Molecule: ribosomal RNA, 460 nt
Filed under: uncultured bacterium
Lineage: Bacteria
Description: partial 16S ribosomal RNA
Rfam family: Bacterial small subunit ribosomal RNA
Source: RNAcentral
CCUACGGGGGGCAGCAGUGAGGAAUAUUGGUCAAUGGCCGUAAGGCUGAACCAGCCAAGUAGCGUGAGGGAAGACUGCCCUAUGGGUUGUAAACCUCUUUUAUGCGGGGACAAAGGUGUCCACGUGUGGAUGUUUGCAGGUACCGCAUGAAUAAGGCCCGGCUAAUUCCGUGCCAGCAGUCGCGGUAAUUCGGAAGGUUGGGGCGUUAUCCGGAUUUAUUGGGGUUAAAGGGAUCGUAGGGCGGUCUUUAAGCGUGCCGGGAAAUUUUGUGGCUCAACCAUGGGAGUGCGGUGCGAACUGGAGACCUUGAGUGCGCGGAAGGCAGGCGGAAGUCGUGGUGUAGCGGUGAAAUGCUUAGAUAUCAAGAAGAACCCCGAUUGCGAAGGCAGCCUGCCGCAGCGUUACUGACGCUGAAGCUCGAAAGCGCGGGUAUCGAACAGGAUUAGAUACCCCUGUAGUC